Molecule: ribosomal RNA, 527 nt
Filed under: uncultured bacterium
Lineage: Bacteria
Description: bacterial SSU rRNA
Rfam family: Bacterial small subunit ribosomal RNA
Source: RNAcentral
CCUGGCUAGGACGAACGCUGGCGGCGUGCCUAAUACAUGCAAGUCGAACGGUCUUUCUAUGGAAGCUUGCUUCCACUGAGAAGAUAGUGGCGGACGGGUGAGUAACACGUGGGUAACCUGCCCAUAAGAGGGGGAUAACAUCCGGAAACGGGUGCUAAUACCGCAUAGUUUUCUUGAUCGCAUGAUUGAGAAAGGAAAGACGGCCUUUGUGCUGUCGCUUAUGGAUGGACCCGCGGCGUAUUAGUUAGUUGGUGAGGUAACGGCUCACCAAGACGAUGAUACGUAGCCGACCUGAGAGGGUGAUCGGCCACAUUGGGACUGAGACACGGCCCAAACUCCUACGGGAGGCAGCAGUAGGGAAUCUUCCGCAAUGGACGAAAGUCUGACGGAGCAACGCCGCGUGAGUGAAGAAAAGGUUUUCGGAUCGUAAAACUCUGUUGUCAGAGAAGAACAAGUCGGAGAGUAACUGCUCCGGCCUUGACGGUAUCUGACCAGAAAGCCACGGCUAACUACGUGCCAGCAGCCGC